CGGGGCCGCACAAGCGGCGGAGCAUGCGGAUUAAUUCGAUGCAACGCGAAGAACCUUACCAAGGCUUGACAUACACCGGUAACGCCCAGAGAUGGGUGCCCCUUUGUGGUCGGUGUACAGGUGGUGCAUGGUUGUCGUCAGCUCGUGUCGUGAGAUGUUGGGUUAAGUCCCGCAACGAGCGCAACCCUCGUCCUAUGUUGCCAGCGGGUCAUGCCGGGGACUCAUGGGAGACUGCCGGGGUCAACUCGGAGGAAGGUGGGGAUGACGUCAAAUCAUCAUGCCCCUUAUGUCUUGGGCUUCACGCAUGCUACAAUGGCCGGUACAAAGGGCUGCGAUACCGCGAGGUGGAGCGAAUCCCAGAAAGCCGGUCUCAGUUCGGAUUGGGGUCUGCAACUCGACCCCAUGAAGUCGGAGUCGCUAGUAAUCGCAGAUCAGCAACGCUGCGGUGAAUACGUUCCCGGGCCUU
This 466-nucleotide ribosomal RNA is filed under the name uncultured Curtobacterium sp. RNAcentral's name for it is "bacterial SSU rRNA". It matches the Rfam family "Bacterial small subunit ribosomal RNA", at positions 917 to 1381 of the family's 1533-position model. Lineage: Bacteria; Bacillati; Actinomycetota; Actinomycetes; Micrococcales; Microbacteriaceae. The record is from RNAcentral.